CUUCACCGACCCCAACCACAACGGGCUCUCCACCGACCGGCCCUGCCCAUACGUGGCCAGGAGAGCCUGCGCCUC
Streptomyces albus is the source of this 75-nucleotide non-coding RNA. It matches the Rfam family "ASpks TB sRNA". The record is from Rfam. NCBI's taxonomy places the organism in Bacteria, Bacillati, Actinomycetota, Actinomycetes, Kitasatosporales, Streptomycetaceae.